Molecule: ribosomal RNA, 595 nt
Filed under: Trichoderma harzianum
Lineage: Eukaryota; Fungi; Ascomycota; Sordariomycetes; Hypocreales; Hypocreaceae
Description: eukaryotic LSU rRNA
Rfam family: 5.8S ribosomal RNA (bases 235-388)
Source: RNAcentral
UUUCCCAAAGGGGGGUAUGCGGAGGGAUCAUUACCGAGUUUACAACUCCCAAACCCAAUGUGAACGUUACCAAACUGUUGCCUCGGCGGGAUCUCUGCCCCGGGUGCGUCGCAGCCCCGGACCAAGGCGCCCGCCGGAGGACCAACCAAAACUCUUUUUGUAUACCCCCUCGCGGGUUUUUUUAUAAUCUGAGCCUUCUCGGCGCCUCUCGUAGGCGUUUCGAAAAUGAAUCAAAACUUUCAACAACGGAUCUCUUGGUUCUGGCAUCGAUGAAGAACGCAGCGAAAUGCGAUAAGUAAUGUGAAUUGCAGAAUUCAGUGAAUCAUCGAAUCUUUGAACGCACAUUGCGCCCGCCAGUAUUCUGGCGGGCAUGCCUGUCCGAGCGUCAUUUCAACCCUCGAACCCCUCCGGGGGGUCGGCGUUGGGGAUCGGCCCUGCCUCUUGGCGGCGGCCGUCUCCGAAAUACAGUGGCGGUCUCGCCGCAGCCUCUCCUGCGCAGUAGUUUGCACACUCGCAUCGGGAGCGCGGCGCGUCCACAGCCGUUAAACACCCAACUUCUGAAAUGUGACCUCGGAUCAGGUAGAAGCCCCAGUCC